This 380-nucleotide ribosomal RNA is filed under the name uncultured eukaryote. RNAcentral's name for it is "partial 18S ribosomal RNA". It matches the Rfam family "Eukaryotic small subunit ribosomal RNA", at positions 592 to 976 of the family's 1831-position model. The record is from RNAcentral.
CAAUAGCGUAUAUUAAAGUUGUUGCGGUUAAAAAGCUCGUAGUUGGAUUUCUGCCGAGGACGACCGGUCCGCCCUCUGGGUGUGUAUCUGGUUUGGCCUGGGCAUCUUCUUGGAGAACGUAGCUGCACUUGACUGUGUGGUGCGGUGUCCAGGACUUUUACUUUGAGGAAAUUAGAGUGUUUCAAGCAGGCACACGCCUUGAAUACAUUAGCAUGGAAUAAUAAGAUAGGACCUCGGUUCUAUUUUGUUGGUUUCUAGAGCUGAGGUAAUGAUUAAUAGGGAUAGUUGGGGGCAUUCGUAUUUAACUGCCAGAGGUGAAAUUCUUGGAUUUGUUAAAGACGGACUACUGCGAAAGCAUUUGCCAAGGAUGUUUUCAUUAA